CACGUAGGGGGCAAGCGUUGUCCGGAUUUAUUGGGCGUAAAGAGCUCGUAGGCGGUUUCGUAAGUCGGGUGUGAAAACUCUAGGCUCAACCUAGAGACGCCACCCGAUACUGCGAUGACUAGAGUCCGGUAGGGGAGUGUGGAAUUCCUGGUGUAGCGGUGAAAUGCGUAGAUAUCGGGAGGAAUACCGAUGGCGAAGGCAGGUCUCUGGGCUGACACUGACGCUCAUGCACGAAAGCGUGGGGAGCAAACAGG
Molecule: ribosomal RNA, 254 nt
Filed under: uncultured bacterium
Lineage: Bacteria
Description: partial 16S ribosomal RNA
Rfam family: Bacterial small subunit ribosomal RNA
Source: RNAcentral